RNAcentral lists this non-coding RNA (89 nucleotides) under Andreesenella formicacetica. RNAcentral's name for it is "Clostridium formicaceticum c-di-GMP sequence". It matches the Rfam family "c-di-GMP-I riboswitch aptamer". Rfam says of the family: GEMM was predicted in a large-scale screen for bacterial structured RNA regulatory elements. The record is from RNAcentral. Lineage: Bacteria; Bacillati; Bacillota; Clostridia; Peptostreptococcales; Natronincolaceae.
UCUGAAUAAAGGCAAACUUAUCGAAAGGUAAGGACGCAAAGCUAUGGGUCUAAGGGAAGCGUUUUUUCUAUGAUUGCCAGGUUGCCGUG